This 497-nucleotide ribosomal RNA is filed under the name uncultured bacterium. RNAcentral describes it as "partial 16S ribosomal RNA". It matches the Rfam family "Bacterial small subunit ribosomal RNA", at positions 28 to 507 of the family's 1533-position model. The record is from RNAcentral.
GAUGAACGCUGGCGGCGUGCCUAAUACAUGCAAGUCGAGCGAACAGACGAGGAGCUUGCUCCUCUGACGUUAGCGGCGGACGGGUGAGUAACACGUGGAUAACCUACCUAUAAGACUGGGAUAACUUCGGGAAACCGGAGCUAAUACCGGAUAACAUGUUGAACCGCAUGGUUCAACAGUGAAAGACGGUCUUGCUGUCACUUAUAGAUGGAUCCGCGCCGCAUUAGCUAGUUGGUAAGGUAACGGCUUACCAAGGCAACGAUGCGUAGCCGACCUGAGAGGGUGAUCGCCCACACUGGAACUGAGACACGGUCCAGACUCCUACGGGAGGCAGCAGUAGGGAAUCUUCCGCAAUGGGCGAAAGCCUGACGGAGCAACGCCGCGUGAGUGAAGAAGGUCUUCGGAUCGUAAAACUCUGUUAUUAGGGAAGAACAAAUGUGUAAGUAACUAUGCCCGUCUUGACGGUACCUAAUCAGAAAGCCACGGCUAACUACGUG